CGGGACGGGUGAGUAAUGUCUGGGAAACUGCCUGAUGAGGGGGAGUAACUACUGGAAACGGUAGCUAAUACCGCAUAACGUCGCAAGACCAAAGAGGGGGACCUUCGGGCCUCUUGCCAUCGGAUGUGCCCAGAUGGGAUUAGCUAGUAGGUGGGGUAACGGCUCACCUAGGCGACGAUCCCUAGCUGGUCUGAGAGGAUGGCCAGCCACACUGGAACUGAGACACGGUCCAG
This 233-nucleotide ribosomal RNA is filed under the name uncultured bacterium. RNAcentral's name for it is "partial 16S ribosomal RNA". It matches the Rfam family "Bacterial small subunit ribosomal RNA", at positions 100 to 334 of the family's 1533-position model. The record is from RNAcentral.